GAGCAGAGAGAGAGAGACACACACAACACAGACAGAGAGAGGGAGAGGGAGGUGGAGCGAGCGACAUGAGAGGGGUGCGCGAGCACCAGCAUGUGGUUGAGCUGGAUGGGCGCGCCUAACCCGGCGCCGCUGCCCCACCUCUCCGAAACGGGCGCUCCAAGUCGAUCCCAAUCCCAAAAACGGGACCUAAGCGCGCUCCGGGACGACUGGGUACCUGCGCCCCGUCUAUGAGAGGGGGCCGCUCCGUCUCACCGGGGGGCUCGAAGCGGAGGGCGGCGGCGGAGGGUACGGCCUGGGGCGAGGGGGAGGCGCCGGGUCGGUCGGCGGAGGUCGCGGUGGUCGCCCCAGCCGUGUGGGAGUGGCAGAGUGACGCACCGACGUCCGAGGACGGAGCUUGUUCCUCGGAAGGGGCGGAGCAGUGUGCCUCCCCAAACUACUAAGCGUGAAGGAGCCGAGCUAGUACCUCCGGCGCCGGGGCCAGGUCGUCGUCGUCGUCGUCGUCCUCCUCCUCCUUGGACGGCACCGACUCCGUGGCCACUUCUCCUUCUCUCCGUCCGGCGCCUUCUUGUCCCUGCCUCGCCAACGACGCGGACGCGGCGGGUUCGGUCACUUCUUCUUACUGCUCCUCCUCCACCACACGAAAUAGACGAAGCUGCCCCCGUCGGAGCACCAAACGCUGGCGUCCCCAACGAGGUUCCACAUGGUAGGACGGACGUAGUUCGCACUGCUCAGCAAAAAGGCGAGGGCACCGUUCACCUUAACACCAACCGUGUAAACGUCGUCGACACUUUUCCGUCGUGUCAUGUACACGAUAUGAACAUGAAUGAGGGAGACGUUCCGUACGCAGUUUGUCCCGUUUAAGAAACCACAAUCUCCCUUGUUCCCGAAGACACUGUGAACGAUACGGUGAUAUAACAACUAUCUCAGGUUUCUGGUUCUACGAUGUUUCCACUACCAACUAAAACUACUAUUUUUAUCAACCCUUAUAGAGAAGUUCAAUAUAACCGACCUACAUUUUCCCUUCGUAAAUAAUUGUAACCUUCUUGAUUAGUCACGGUUUUCGUUAACCUGACAAGCUUCGUAAAGACGAUCCUCUCUUUUUCUCCUCAGUAGACCACUCGCUAUACUUCGUUUGUUACUGGUGUUACAGUCAAGACUGUCGAGAAGCUCCUUUGCUUCAGCCCCAUGAAGAAAUUCCUUUUCCCCGGCCUUCGCCGUUUUAGUAUCAGAAUUAUGACGUUCCUUGACACUUUAAAGUUAAUUUCCAAGACUUUCGAAUGGGUUCCCUCGUGGUAAACUUCCGUACCUAAACAGCCCACUGUGCUUUACCCGGAGUGGCCUCGACGACCCUAAGUAACCCGUGUACUCUUUACCACUACACAGAGUUUAAAGGGUUAAACUACAAGUCCAAGACAACGAACUCAUAUAUUUCGUUUUAUUAGAAGCACUGGGAGCGUUUUUUUCAGUUUAAUAAACACUACGUUCCGAAUCAUCAGACAAAUCCUUUGGUGCACAACCAGUAAAGCUCUACAAUUUUGAAAACCUCUAAGUAGAAGUACACUUUCUCUGAGGUCGUAAUUUACCACUAUGGGUUAAUCGGGCACUCGGUCUAAGUCGUGUUCAUCUAUCACCUCCUGUAUCACUCUACCCUUGAUUCAAUUCGAGACUAUUCUCCUCCUUCUGAGUAUUCUUCGAACUUUCUCUAGAUGGUCGAUUAGAUCUCCUAAUACGUCGGUAACUGUACGUAUUAUAGUUAAAUUAUAUGAACGCGGCGUCGAACUACCUCCUAUAGUAACUACUACAACGACGUAAGAGACUCUUUUAAUGACCACGAAAACACUCCUAUUCUUAAGGCCCAAGACCGGUUUUCGUUCUAUACAUAGCGGAUCAGUUUCAAGAACCAUGUGUAUUUCAACGUCUUGCUAUAUCACAACCAUUCUUCUGUUGUCUGACACGUGAACUCUAUAGUUUGAAUCUAUUCUUCCUUCACUAGUGUUACCUAUGCUAGAGUUUAGUCCUAAAGUGCGUCCUACUUACGUUUGCGAAUGCGGUCUCGUACUUCAUACCAGAUUAAGGAGCUGAAUUUCACCCUCUGUAUAUACUCUAUCGGUUUUCGAAGGUUAGAGACGUUUAAUUACUAACCAACCAUUUACUUUUCGUCUCCGACUCGGUAGAGGCACUGGCACGAUCGCUUUGACCUGCGGCUUUUCUUGAUUCUCUCACGCAUCUCUUCAAUGUUGAAGACUUGUGAGGACUUCUUUAUCGUGCGUUCUAAUUACUUCAAGGUCUUCAUGUACAACUGGGGGUAUACCGAGGAUGAAUACUUAGACGACUUCUUACCUUACUACUUUGUUGACAACUAAACUGGUAUUUAUCCUUACCUGGUCUAGAAGACAAAGGACCUUCUCUUCCCUGUCUUAGUUUGCGACACGUCAUGGACAGUGUUUUUACAGGGCUACGAUCAACAGUGAGAUCAAAUUUAGAAGGAUGCCUCCCGCAUUGUGUAUAUGGUCCUCGUCCUUCAUAGUGAUUAAACGUCCGUCGUUUACCCAACUUAUAAGGAGCCGGAGCGUAACUAAAUUUAUUAUGUCGCCCACUACGACGUAGUCAAGGCAGUAGACCCCAACAUAGUUCACUGUGCCUCGGUCUUUUUCAUACCGUGAUGUUCCUGGGAAGACCUUUACAAGUCCCGGGCAAAUGAGAAAGUGUCGAUAGGUUCACCUGAUGAAUAAAGGGUUCACCGUACUUCUAUACCGAGUGUAAACUCUCACUUCUCUUGAGUAACAACGACUGACUUCACGAGAGUUGUGUCUUCUUUCUAUAGUAAGUUGGAUGCGGUCAAUAAUUGUUAUUAUUUAGACGUACCCGUCCGAGACCCGUUCUAUCUUAAUUGGGUUCAUACUGACCUUUGUAAUGAAGGGGAUAACCGAUAUUACAACAGAUGAGAAGACCCAAUGGGUCGGUCAGAAGACUGGUAGGAGGAGACUCUUCUCUUUCAGGUUUGAAAUACCCACUUCGAAACGGUAGUUGUUGUACGACCCUCGGUGACCGAAGAUCACAGGUCUAAGUCGUAGUCCGUUUGAUACGUUCGUGGUAAGGUAGAAAACGACCAAGUAUAUCUAGUUGUCCUGGAGUACCACUACCCCAGGGGGCUCUUUUCUAACCCCUUGUGUUGUUAGCGGUUCUUUGGCCACCAAACACAUCAGGUUGGGGUCGUGGUUUCUAAGUGUUGUCGGUCUCAUUGUACUUCGGACUCUCGACAAGUUCCAGUUUAGAACAACUACCUUCUCUUAGGUUAAGUCGGAACCCGUAAGGAUCAGUCAGUUCUCGAGGACGGACGCCACGUGUUAGUUGAAGUAAAUGUACGUGAAGAUCAAGUUCGUUCUGGUUCCUCUAGUACUUAGACGUCUUUGGUACGGGGGGACUACGUAGUUUACGAAGUCAAUUAGUUGAAAAACUCGGAUUUUAACUAAGUCACAAUAGGGGACCGUGAGUUCUAGUUAUAGGGUCAGGUUUAGGUUUUAAACUCUCCUUCGUCGGACACUACUUGUUCAGUCCCAGUUGUAGUCAUCGUGGACUUCUAAGUCGAUGUUUCCGUAUACUGGUGAGAAGUUAUCGAAAGCACAGUCUUUGUAGACCAGGCGGAAGUUCAUUUAAACAACCGAACGUUAAUGAAUUCCUUUGUGUUUGUAGUACACAUCUUCUUUCUCUAGAUUUUCUACCUCCGACACAGUGAGUUUGUCGUGGUGAUUUUCCUCUACGGUGUAGUCGAUUCUCUCUAUUGUAUUGACAAUCAAGACAGAGACUACGACCUCAAACACUACACGACCCUAGAAACUGUCUUGGUUUGACACCUUGAAUAUUACACGUACGACCUUACGGAAACCUUUUACAGUGGGGUCGAAGUCGACUCCUUCUUUCCGGCGUCACGAGAUCGGGAUAACGCGAUAGAGGAACCCCACUUGGAUCAAUGAUAGUUCCGCCUCGACAACUAAGACGAGACACCCCACAAGUUCUACUGGGUUCGUUACUGUACACCAGUAACAGAAGUGGUUGUGGACGAGAGGUUGGGAGGAGUCUAGAACCUCGACUACCUUUUCUAUGAAGUACGUAAUAUCUCCUCCGUCAUCAUCGGGCUCCUUCAUCGCGACAACCACUUUAUAGUGGUUGUGGUCUCCUUUUCUACCGUUUUCCGUUGGGUUCGCGAAGGUGUCUAACACCUCACGGUCUCGUCCAUUUUGAUUUUGGUUCACGACGUAACAACUUGAGUAGAGAGUUCUCGUGUCUUCGAAGUCCGCCCGUUGGUAAUCCGAGUAGAAACCUCCCCUCGUGUUUUCGAAGUCCAGCCGUUGGCCAUCCGAGUAAGGACCUGCCCUUGUGUUUUCAAAGUCCGUCCGUUCGUAGUCCGGUUAAAGAACUCCCCUCGUGUUUCCGAAGUCAUACCGUUAGUCCAAGUACAGAUCUCUGUUCGUGAUUUCCAAGUCCGACCCCAAGUAGACAUCUACCUUCGUGUUUUCCAAGUCCGACCCCAAGUAGACAUCUACCUUCGUGUUUUCCAAGUCCCGCCCCAAAUAGAGAUCUCCAUUUGCGUUUUCCAAGUCCAACCCCAAGUAGAGAUCUCCCUCCGUGUUUUCCAAGUCCAACCCCAAGUAGAGAGCUCCCUCCGUGUUUUCCAAGUCCAACCCCAAGUAGAGAUCUCCCUUCGUGUGUUCGGAGUCCGACCAAUGCUAGUUCAAGUAGAGGCCUCCCCUCUUUUUGAGGUCCAGCCGUAAGCAGUCGGGCACUCUCAAGUUUCCACUUAAAGUUCUCACCGUCGGUUUUGGCAUUGAGCAGAAGUCCAGUGGUUUGUUGUGGUUGUCGAUUUUCGAGAAGUCUUCGUGUUUCCUCUGUCCCUUCGUGGUUAAGUUUAAGACGACCGACCCCUCUCCGUGGUCCCUCGUUGUUCUCGACCGUAGGUAGAAGACCGUCACGAUCAGCUCCGUCGGUCAGCUUAGUUGUGGUACUAUCCGUGACAGUACCGUUGCUUAGUGCCGCCCCAUCGAUAGUCCCGUUACUAAGUGCCGCACCAUCGAGCUUGGUGAGAUCCUCCAGCAGACUAGUAGCAGUUCUAGUACCGUCGCCAUACAGCAGUUCUAGUAGCAGUUCUCCCGUCAGAGUUGCUCCUUAUACGUUUAUAAUACUCUUACCGGUGACGACCUUCCCCGGUAGAACGAGAAAACAUGUGGCAACUGGUAGCACCAUCCUUUGUGUAACACUUCCAUGGUGCGGAAUGGGGUGUAAAAACAUAUCGGACUGUUCGGUGAAACAUCAGUCGAAUCUUGUCUCGAGAACCGCGGUGAGUCUACGAUCAUGUAUAUAGGUAUGCUAACCUAUCGUAAAAUGCGAAUUUUCUGGUGACUGCUACUCAUACUUACGUCUAAGAGACGAAGACCUCGGACUAAAUAAGGUGAGACAAGUCAAGUUACCUCAACUGAAGUCAAAAGGGUACUGGUCCUUUUUUUACAAAUACACGCCUAUACCUAAGAUUAGGACCCGAGUAUACGUGG
RNAcentral lists this ribosomal RNA (5546 nucleotides) under Triticum aestivum (bread wheat). RNAcentral's name for it is "partial small subunit ribosomal RNA". Lineage: Eukaryota; Viridiplantae; Streptophyta; Magnoliopsida; Poales; Poaceae. The record is from RNAcentral.